ACUUACUGGAGGUCCGAACCCACGCACGUUGAAAAGUGCGGGGAUGAGGUGUGGGUAGCGGAGAAAUUCCAAUCGAACUUGGAGAUAGCUGGUUCUCUCCGAAAUAGCUUUAGGGCUAGCCUCGAGGUAAAGAGUCAUGGAGGUAGAGCACUGUUUGGACUAGGGGCCCUUCUCGGGUUACCGAAUUCAGAUAAACUCCGAAUGCCAUGUACUUAUACUCGGGAGUCAGACUGCGAGUGAUAAGAUCCGUAGUCGAAAGGGAAACAGCCCAGACCACCAGUUAAGGUCCCCAAAUAUAUGUUAAGUGGAAAAGGAUGUGGGGUUGCUUAGACAACCAGGAUGUUGGCUUAGAAGCAGCCACCAUUGAAAGAGUGCGUAAUAGCUCACUGGUCGAGUGACCCCGCGCCGAAAAUGUACCGGGGCUAAACAUAUUACCGAAACUGUGGAUGAACCUCUUCGGAGGUUCGUGGUAGGAGAGCGUUCUAAGGGCGGUGAAGUCAGACCGGAAGGACUGGUGGAGCGCUUAGAAGUGAGAAUGCCGGUAUGAGUAGCGAAAGAAGGGUGAGAAUCCCUUCCACCGAAUAUCUAAGGUUUCCUGAGGAAGGCUCGUCCGCUCAGGGUUAGUCGGGACCUAAGCCGAGGCCGAUAGGCGUAGGCGAUGGACAACAGGUAGAGAUUCCUGUACCAGUGCUAAUUGUUUAACCGAUGGGGUGACACAGAAGGAUAGGGAAUCGCACGAAUGGAAAUGUGCGUCCAAGCAGUGAGUGUGAGAAGUAGGCAAAUCCGCUU
Molecule: ribosomal RNA, 789 nt
Filed under: Listeria innocua
Lineage: Bacteria; Bacillati; Bacillota; Bacilli; Caryophanales; Listeriaceae
Description: partial 23S ribosomal RNA
Rfam family: Bacterial large subunit ribosomal RNA
Source: RNAcentral